GGACGAAGUCUGACGGANCACGCCGCGUGAGUGAUGAAGGUUUUCGGAUCGUAAAGCUCUGUUGUUAGGGAAGAACAAGUGCCGUUCAAAUAGGGCGGCACCUUGACGGUACCUAACCAGAAAGCCACGGCUAACUACGUGCCAGCAGCCGCGGUAAUACGUAGGUGGCAAGCGUUGUCCGGAAUUAUUGGGCGUAAAGGGCUCGCAGGCGGUUUCUUAAGUCUGAUGUGAAAGCCCCCGGCUCAACCGGGGAGGGUCAUUGGAAACUGGGGAACUUGAGUGCAGAAGAGGAGAGUGGAAUUCCACGUGUAGCGGUGAAAUGCGUAGAGAUGUGGAGGAACACCAGUGGCGAAGGCGACUCUCUGGUCUGUAACUGACGCUGAGGAGCGAAAGCGUGGGGAGCGAACAGGAUUAGAUACCCUGGUAGUCCACGCCGUAAACGAUGAGUGCUAAGUGUUAGGGGGUUUCCGCCCCUUAGUGCUGCAGCUAACGCAUUAAGCACUCCGCCUGGGGAGUACGGUCGCAAGACUGAAACUCAAAGGAAUUGACGGGGGCCCGCACAAGCGGUGGAGCAUGUGGUUUAAUUCGAAGCAACGCGAAGAACCUUACCAGGUCUUGACAUCCUCUGACAAUCCUAGAGAUAGGACGUCCCCUUCGGGGGCAGAGUGACAGGUGGUGCAUGGUUGUCGUCAGCUCGUGUCGUGAGAUGUUGGGUUAAGUCCCGCAACGAGNGGCAACCCNAAA
This 744-nucleotide ribosomal RNA is filed under the name Bacillus sp. (in: firmicutes). RNAcentral's name for it is "bacterial SSU rRNA". It matches the Rfam family "Bacterial small subunit ribosomal RNA", at positions 373 to 1108 of the family's 1533-position model. Lineage: Bacteria; Bacillati; Bacillota; Bacilli; Caryophanales; Bacillaceae. The record is from RNAcentral.